Molecule: ribosomal RNA, 385 nt
Filed under: uncultured prokaryote
Description: partial 16S ribosomal RNA
Source: RNAcentral
CCCUACGGGGCGCAGCAGGCGACACUGUAGAAGGCGCUACCUCCGGAAAUACGGGAAUCGUGGUAGCGGUCCAUGUGACUUUCGGCACUUGGGCGGAAGAAAAUGCGGCAGGCGUCUUGUAUCUGAAGUAUCCUGGUGCGAAUUGGAGCAACUGGACCAACUCCGAGGAUAUCCAGGUAGGCGGGGCCACAAGAGCCGCGACAACUGGAACAGGUGGAGCUCUUGGGCUGACCAGGCAGUAUGCAGAGGCAUACUGCAACAACAUCGGCAGCACUCGGUGGGGCUGUGAGAACAUAUGGACGCUCGAUGCGUUGACGAUGCUCUACUUGGUGGAGUAUGCCAACUGGAAUUCGCAGAGUACUUCUGUCGGAAUUGGCGGGGGGGC